AUGGCCACCCCCUCGGACGCCAACUCUGCUACGAGCGGCGGCACCUCGGCGGCCGCCAACCCUGUCCUGGAGGAUUUCUUCGACCAGCUAGAUCUAAACGACAAGGAGUUAAAUGAUGUGGAGAUUGAUGAGGAAUAUCCCGGCAUCAAGGAAAGCGUGAGGUGGUUGGCCCUGGCUAGGGUUCACACCGACAAAACCUUCUCUCCGGCUGCCUUCUACAAGGAUAUGAGGGCGGCCUGGAAUCCGACGCAACCAGUAUGGUUUCAUUCGGUUGGCCCCAAUAGAUUCGUUGUCCAGGCCUCAUGCCUUGGGGAUUGGGAGCGGAUGAUGAAGCAAGGGCCCUGGCUCUUUCAAAACAUGGCGGUCCUUAUGUGCUCGUAUGAUCGUUUUACCAAAGCGGAUGAUGUGGUCUUUGAUCACAUGCCUAUUUGGCUCCAGAUACAUAAGCUACCGGAUCCCUACUGUAAACACGGGAUCAUGGAGAGGCUCCUUAAGGGGGCUGGCGAAAUCUUGGAGAUGAGAUUGAACGGCAACACCCAUGGGGAUUAUGUUAGGGUUAGGGUUAACCAUGACAUCAAACAGCCGCUUACAAAGUUGGUGAGCAUUGUAAGAGCUCAGGAGAGACAAGUCUACCUGGUUCGAUAUGAGAAGCUGGCUCAUUUUUGCAAAUUCUGUGGUCUAAUUGGACAUAACCAUAAGGAGUGUGGUUUUGGUGUUCAUGAUCAGAAGAAACUGAAGUUUGGAGAUUGGUUGUACGCGGAUGGGCCUAACCACCCGCGUCCUAAGCAAAACCCUAGCAGGGCUAGCGAGCCACUACAAACGAAGAACAAUGGCAGCCUAAGUGCUCCGUUGGUUCCUGGCGGUAAGGGAGUUGAUCCUGAGACCCUGGAUACGGCCACGAGCCCUAUGAAGAACCUGGGGGUGAGCAUGGAGGUUGAUAGAGAAGCUAGGAAGAGACUUAAUAUGUACAACUCUGGUGAUGAUGUUCUGAAUACUACCAGUACCCCGAAGGCGAUCUUGGCAAUCACCGAUGGCAAUGGUCAGGACUUAGGGGAUAAUGCCUCCCCCUCUAGCAGCACCUCUAGCAGUAAACAUGUUAAACUCAGUUUGAUCCAUGACACAAAUGAGAUAUCGGCGGCUUCCUGUGAGGAAGACCGCCGAACACAAUGA
Molecule: ribosomal RNA, 1170 nt
Filed under: Triticum aestivum (bread wheat)
Lineage: Eukaryota; Viridiplantae; Streptophyta; Magnoliopsida; Poales; Poaceae
Description: partial small subunit ribosomal RNA
Source: RNAcentral